RNAcentral lists this long non-coding RNA (1399 nucleotides) under Fragaria vesca (wild strawberry). RNAcentral describes it as "long non-coding RNA (FVES_LNC004844)". The record is from RNAcentral. Lineage: Eukaryota; Viridiplantae; Streptophyta; Magnoliopsida; Rosales; Rosaceae.
ACAUUAUAUUAAGUGUUUAAAUUUAAGCAUGAACAUAAUGAAAAAAAAUGGUUUUAAGCAACCCUCAAACGUUGUUUCGGGGCCCCAUGACAGCCAGACGUGCGACCCUUCUGGAGACUGCGCAGAGGCAGCCGGAGGUGCCCCAUUCAUCGAGGCAGCGGGGCGUCCCUCAUUCCUUGAGGUAGCUGUGGCCUCAGUCCUAGAUGGAGGUGUCUGCACCUCGUAUGCCUGAGAUACACCGGGCGCCCACUCCGGGUACUACUUCUUCGGAUAGUGGGUCAUCUGGGGUACAGAUGCCGCCGCCUCAUCUGUUCCUUCCACGGAUGAUACCUGCCUUACCUGCAGUCGAUGGCUCAGGGACGCCGAUUCAUCCACUGCCCCCGCCAGUGGCUCUAUCAGCGGCAUACCGGUUCGUGCCUUUUGAUACGCCUCUUAUUUCUGCGAGGUUAUCAUCAUCGGCAACAGAGACGGAAUCCGUCGCGUCCGCCGCAUCGCCCUCAGGUAAUGAAAGAUGAAUGAUUUGUUUUCUUAUAAUUAAUAAUAAAGGGUCUCCGAUUUUAAUAAUCAAUUUGGUUUAUUAUGUGAUAGGCACCGUCGGAGCAAAGUCGACAAAGAAAAAGAGAGGCCCCAUCACAGGGAAGGCUCUCGAGAAGACCGUCAGUACCUUAGGGAGGAUUCGUCAUCGUUACUGACGGGGAUGGCGACAUAGUAUCGGGCGGGAAGUCGAGAACGUACUCCGGCUGCGUGGGAGCGCUCAUUAGGGAUAGAGUCCCUAUGUUGUGGUCAGACUGGGUCGAGGUCCCGCAGGAGGUUAAGGACAUGGUCCACAACGCGAUAUCGGUGAGUUUACAAAAUGCCUCAAUAAUAUUAUGUAUUACAUUGUUGAUUUCUCGAAAAACUAAACUAAUAAACGGUUAAAUGCAGGUGUGGUUUGAUGUUCCCGAGCACCUGAAGAACAGCUGGGCGGACGUUGUGUAUAGGAGAAGGUACGUUGGGAAGUUAAUGAGAAAACAAAAUUGUAUGUGAUAUUAAUAAUAUUUCUAAUAUUUUUGUUGUAUCUGUAGGUACAAGGAGUGGAAGAACGAGUUGCGGACCCAUUAGACUACGCAUGAGAACGCACGUUCUGGUACCCCUGCUGAGUUCCAGUACAUGGAGUACGAGUGGCGUUGGCUUUUGACAUCAGAAUUAAACAACCCUCGUAAACAGGUAUUUAAAAAAUUAAUUAGUUAAUUUGUCAUUAAGUACGUGCGUUUUUAAAUAUUUUACUAAUAGUUUAUUUUUUUUCUUUAAAGGUCGUUUCCCGGACGAACGCUCAGAACCGACAACGCAACACAAGGAACCAUCGUGCCGGUUCUAGACCGUUCGCUGUCUUCAUGGACGAGGCGGCCAGGGAACAUCC